RNAcentral lists this ribosomal RNA (253 nucleotides) under uncultured bacterium. RNAcentral's name for it is "partial 16S ribosomal RNA". It matches the Rfam family "Bacterial small subunit ribosomal RNA", at positions 524 to 776 of the family's 1533-position model. The record is from RNAcentral.
UACGUAGGGAGCAAGCGUCGUCCGGAAUCAUUGGGCGUAAAGCGCGCGUAGGUGGCUUCGUAAGUCCGUUGUGAAAGUCAAAGGCUCAACCUUUGAAUGCCGGUCGAUACUGCCGGACUAGAGUUCGGAAGAGGCGAGUGGAAUUCCCGGUGUAGCGGUGAAAUGCGUAGAUAUCGGUAGGAACACCAAUGGCGAAGGCAGCUUGCUGGCAUAUUUCUGACGCUAAGGCACGAAAGCGUGGGGAGCGAACAGG